CUUCAGUGCUGCAGCUAACGCAUUAAGCAUUCCGCCUGGGGAGUACGGCCGCAAGGCUGAAACUCAAAGGAAUUGACGGGGGCCCGCACAAGCGGUGGAGCAUGUGGUUUAAUUCGAAGCUACGCGAAGAACCUUACCAGGUCUUGACAUACUAUGCAAAUCUAAGAGAUUAGACGUUCCCUUCGGGGACAUGGAUACAGGUGGUGCAUGGUUGUCGUCAGCUCGUGUCGUGAGAUGUUGGGUUAAGUCCCGCAACGAGCGCAACCCUUAUUAUCAGUUGCCAGCAUUAAGUUGGGCACUCUGGUGAGACUGCCGGUGACAAACCGGAGGAAGGUGGGGAUGACGUCAAAUCAUCAUGCCCCUUAUGACCUGGGCUACACACGUGCUACAAUGGAUGGUACAACGAGUUGCGAACUCGCGAGAGUAAGCUAAUCUCUUAAAGCCAUUCUCAGUUCGGAUUGUAGGCUGCAACUCGCCUACAUGAAGUCGGAAUCGCUAGUAAUCGCGGAUCAGCAUGCCGCGGGAAUACGUUCCCGGGCCU
Molecule: ribosomal RNA, 541 nt
Filed under: uncultured Lactobacillus sp.
Lineage: Bacteria; Bacillati; Bacillota; Bacilli; Lactobacillales; Lactobacillaceae
Description: bacterial SSU rRNA
Rfam family: Bacterial small subunit ribosomal RNA
Source: RNAcentral